AACGAACGCUGGCGGCAGGCCUAACACAUGCAAGUCGAGCGGGGGAGCAAUCCCUAGCGGCGGACGGGUGAGUAACGCGUGGGAACGUACCCUUUGCUUCGGAAUAGCCCCGGGAAACUGGGAGUAAUACCGGAUGUGCCCUACGGGGGAAAGAAUUUCGGCAAAGGAUCGGCCCGCGUUGGAUUAGGUAGUUGGUGGGGUAAUGGCCUACCAAGCCGACGAUCCAUAGCUGGUUUGAGAGGAUGAUCAGCCACACUGGGACUGAGACACGGCCCAGACUCCUACGGGAGGCAGCAGUGGGGAAUCUUAGACAAUGGGCGCAAGCCUGAUCUAGCCAUGCCGCGUGAGCGAUGAAGGCCUUAGGGUUGUAAAGCUCUUUCGUGGGGGAAGAUAAUGACGGUACCCCAAGAAGAAGCCCCGGCUAAACUCCGUGCCAGCAGCCGCGGUAAU
Molecule: ribosomal RNA, 450 nt
Filed under: uncultured bacterium
Lineage: Bacteria
Description: bacterial SSU rRNA
Rfam family: Bacterial small subunit ribosomal RNA
Source: RNAcentral